Molecule: ribosomal RNA, 497 nt
Filed under: uncultured bacterium
Lineage: Bacteria
Description: partial 16S ribosomal RNA
Rfam family: Bacterial small subunit ribosomal RNA
Source: RNAcentral
GUCGAACGCUGGCGGCGUGCCUAAUACAUGCAAGUUGAGCGCUGAAGGUUGGUACUUGUACCCACUGGAUGAGCAGCGCACGGGUGAGUAACGCGUGGGGAAUCUGCCUUUGAGCGGGGGACAACAUUUGGAAACGAAUGCUAAUACCGCAUAAAAACUUUAAACACAAGUUUUAAGUUUGAAAGAUGCAAUUGCAUCACUCAAAGAUGAUCCCGCGUUGUAUUAGCUAGUUGGUGAGGUAAAGGCUCACCAAGGCGAUGAUACAUAGCCGACCUGAGAGGGUGAUCGGCCACAUUGGGACAGAGACACGGCCCAAACUCCUACGGGAGGCAGCAGUAGGGAAUCUUCGGCAAUGGACGAAAGUCUGACCGAGCAACGCCGCGUGAGUGAAGAAGGUUUUCGGAUCGUAAAACUCGGUUGGUAGAGAAGAACGUUGGUGAGAGUGGAAAGCUCAUCAAGUGACGGUAACUACACAGAAAGGGACGGCUAACUACGUG